RNAcentral lists this ribosomal RNA (331 nucleotides) under uncultured cyanobacterium. RNAcentral's name for it is "bacterial SSU rRNA". It matches the Rfam family "Bacterial small subunit ribosomal RNA", at positions 65 to 425 of the family's 1533-position model. Lineage: Bacteria; Bacillati; Cyanobacteriota. The record is from RNAcentral.
AACGGAGUAGCAAUACUUAGUCGCGGACGGGUGAGUAACGCGUAAGAAUCUAGCUUCAGGUUCGGGACAACAAUUGGAAACGAUUGCUAAUACCGGAUAUGCCUACGGGUAAAAGGCUUGCUGCCUGAAGAAGAGCUUGCGUCCGAUUAGCUAGUUGGUGGGGUAAAGGCUUACCAAGGCGGCGAUCGGUAGCUGGUCUGAGAGGAUGACCAGGCACACUGGGACUGAGACAAUGCCCAGACUCCUACGGGAGGCAGCAGUGGGGCAUUUUCCGCAAUGGGCGAACGCCUGACGGAGCAAUACCGCGUGAGGGAAGAAGGCUCUUGGGUUG